This 506-nucleotide ribosomal RNA is filed under the name uncultured bacterium. Its description in RNAcentral is "partial 16S ribosomal RNA". It matches the Rfam family "Bacterial small subunit ribosomal RNA", at positions 30 to 523 of the family's 1533-position model. The record is from RNAcentral.
AUUGAACGCUGGCGGCAGGCCUAACACAUGCAAGUCGAACGGUAACAGAAAGCAGCUUGCUGCUUUGCUGACGAGUGGCGGACGGGUGAGUAAUGUCUGGGAAACUGCCUGAUGGAGGGGGAUAACUACUGGAAACGGUAGCUAAUACCGCAUAACGUCGCAAGACCAUAGAGGGGGACCUUCGGGCCUCUUGCCAUCGGAUGUGCCCAGAUGGGAUUAGCUAGUAGGUGGGGUAAUGGCUCACCUAGGCGACGAUCCCUAGCUGGUCUGAGAGGAUGACCAGCCACACUGGAACUGAGACACGGUCCAGACUCCUACGGGAGGCAGCAGUGGGGAAUAUUGCACAAUGGGCGCAAGCCUGAUGCAGCCAUGCCGCGUGUAUGAAGAAGGCCUUCGGGUUGUAAAGUACUUUCAGCGAGGAGGAAGGUGUUGUGGUUAAUAACCACAGCAAUUGACGUUACUCGCAGAAGAAGCACCGGCUAACUCCGUGCCAGCAGCCGCGGUAA